UACGUAGGGUGCGAACGUUAUUCGGAAUCACUGGGCUUAAAGGGUGCGUAGGCGGCGAUUCAAGUCAGAUGUGAAAUGCCUGAGCUCAACUGAGGCAUUGCGUUUGAAACUGAAUUGCUAGAGUAUCCUAGGGGUGUGCGGAACUGCCAGUGGAACGGUGAAAUGUGUUGAUAUUGGCAGGAACACCGGAGGCGAAAGCGGCACACUGGGGGAUAACUGACGCUGAGGCACGAAAGCCAAGGGAGCGAACGGG
This 253-nucleotide ribosomal RNA is filed under the name uncultured bacterium. RNAcentral's name for it is "partial 16S ribosomal RNA". It matches the Rfam family "Bacterial small subunit ribosomal RNA", at positions 524 to 776 of the family's 1533-position model. The record is from RNAcentral.